GGGGUAGCAAUACUCGCUGGCGACCGGCAAACGGGUGCGGAACACGUACACAACCUUCCUUAAAGUGGGGAAUAGCCCAGGGAAACUUGGAUUAAUACCCCGUAAUAUUAUUAGAUGGCAUCAUUUGAUAAUUAUAGCUCCGGCGCUUAAAGAUGGGUGUGCGGCUGAUUAGGUAGUUGGCGGGGUAACGGCCCACCAAGCCUACGAUCAGUAACUGGUGUGAGAGCACGACCAGUCACACGGGCACUGAGACACGGGCCCGACUCCUACGGGAGGCAGCAGUAAGGAAUAUUGGUCAAUGGACGCAAGUCUGAACCAGCCAUGCCGCGUGGAGGAUGAAGGUCCUCUGGAUUGUAAACUUCUUUUAUCUGGGAAGAAACCCAAGGUUUCUACUUUGGUUGACGGUACCAGAUGAAUAAGCAUCGGCUAACUCCGUGCCAGCAGCCGCGGUAAUACGGAGGGUGCAAGCGUUAUCCGGAUUCACUGGGUUUAAAGGGUGCGUAGGUGGGCUAGUAAGUCAGUGGUGAAAUCUCCGGGCUUAACCCGGAAACUGCCAUUGAUACUAUUAGUCUUGAAUGUCGUGGAGGUAAGCGGAAUAUGUCAUGUAGCGGUGAAAUGCUUAGAUAUGACAUAGAACACCGAUAGCGUAGGCAGCUUACUACACGAAUAUUGACACUGAGGCACGAAAGCGUGGGGAUCAAACAGGAUUAGAUACCCUGGUAGUCCACGCCCUAAACGAUGGAUACUCGACAUCAGCGAUACACUGUUGGUGUCUGAGCGAAAGCAUUAAGUAUCCCACCUGGGAAGUACGACCGCAAGGUUGAAACUC
Molecule: ribosomal RNA, 829 nt
Filed under: uncultured Flavobacteriia bacterium
Lineage: Bacteria; Pseudomonadati; Bacteroidota; Flavobacteriia
Description: bacterial SSU rRNA
Rfam family: Bacterial small subunit ribosomal RNA
Source: RNAcentral